RNAcentral lists this ribosomal RNA (274 nucleotides) under uncultured bacterium. Its description in RNAcentral is "partial 16S ribosomal RNA". It matches the Rfam family "Bacterial small subunit ribosomal RNA", at positions 523 to 796 of the family's 1533-position model. The record is from RNAcentral.
AUACGGAGGGGGUUAGCGUUGUUCGGAAUUACUGGGCGUAAAGCGCACGUAGGCGGAUUGGAAAGUUGGGGGUGAAAUCCCAGGGCUCAACCCUGGAACUGCCUCCAAAACUAACAGUCUAGAGUUCGAGAGAGGUGAGUGGAAUUCCAAGUGUAGAGGUGAAAUUCGUAGAUAUUUGGAGGAACACCAGUGGCGAAGGCGGCUCACUGGCUCGAUACUGACGCUGAGGUACGAAAGUGUGGGGAGCAAACAGGAUUAGAAACCCGGGUAGUCC